GUCGGGAUAGCUCAGCUGUAGAGCAGAGACUG
Molecule: transfer RNA, 32 nt
Filed under: Artocarpus primackii
Lineage: Eukaryota; Viridiplantae; Streptophyta; Magnoliopsida; Rosales; Moraceae
Description: partial tRNA-Phe
Source: RNAcentral